GUUCUUGUAGUUAAGUAAUAACGGUGGUUUUUCAAGCCAUUAGCCUAGGUUAGAGUCCUAGUGAGAAUU
Molecule: transfer RNA, 69 nt
Filed under: Pictichromis paccagnellae (royal dottyback)
Lineage: Eukaryota; Metazoa; Chordata; Actinopteri; Pseudochromidae
Description: tRNA-Glu
Rfam family: tRNA
About the family: Transfer RNA (tRNA) molecules are approximately 80 nucleotides in length. Their secondary structure includes four short double-helical elements and three loops (D, anti-codon, and T loops). Further hydrogen bonds mediate the characteristic L-shaped molecular structure. tRNAs have two regions of fundamental functional importance: the anti-codon, which is responsible for specific mRNA codon recognition, and the 3' end, to which the tRNAs corresponding amino acid is attached (by aminoacyl-tRNA synthetases). tRNAs cope with the degeneracy of the genetic code in two manners: having more than one tRNA (with a specific anti-codon) for a particular amino acid; and 'wobble' base-pairing, i.e. permitting non-standard base-pairing at the 3rd anti-codon position.
Source: RNAcentral